UUUCCGUAGGUGAACCUGCGGAAGGAUCAUUGUCGAAACCUGCCCAGCAGAACGACCCGCGAACUUGUAUAAACAACCGGGGGCGGGGGGCGUUCUCGCCCCGUGCCCCCGAACGGCGGGGAGACACUCGUGCCUUCUUGCCGAACAACGAACCCCGGCGCGGUCUGCGCCAAGGAACUUCAACUAAAGAGUGCCUCCGGUCGCCUCGGAAACGGCGUGCGUGCCGGGGGCGAAUCUUGUGCAAAACCAUAACGACUCUCGGCAACGGAUAUCUCGGCUCUCGCAUCGAGGAAGAACGCAGC
RNAcentral lists this unclassified non-coding RNA (302 nucleotides) under plant metagenome. RNAcentral's name for it is "partial contains small subunit ribosomal RNA, internal transcribed spacer 1, and 5.8S ribosomal RNA". The stretch from base 254 to 302 matches the Rfam family "5.8S ribosomal RNA", at positions 1 to 49 of the family's 154-position model. The record is from RNAcentral.